Notechis scutatus (mainland tiger snake) is the source of this 250-nucleotide non-coding RNA. NCBI's taxonomy places the organism in Eukaryota, Metazoa, Chordata, Lepidosauria, Squamata, Elapidae. The record is from RefSeq and is a predicted model, not a curated record.
AGGUUCAAUCCUCUAAAUCCCGGAAGAGGGAGUGCCCGGAUCCUGUGUUACCUUGCGGCUCGUUUCCAGGCACGCAGCUGGUAGAGGGAAAGGCCUGCUCCAGACCAGCCACGUUGCCCCAGGAUUCAAUCCAGAUCCUCGGAGAGGAGGAGAUGCUCUGGGGGAAUCCUUCACACUUCAUAUCCUCGAUACUCAAAUUGGAUGCCAUUUGUACAUUCUCUUGUUGAGGCAAAAAUGUCCCUUGGACAAA